CAUUACNCAAAUAUGAAGCCGGACUGGGAUAGGGCCUCGCUGCCUUGCCCGUCUGGCGCCAUAUUCACCCAUGUCUUUUUGCGUACUACUUGUUUCCUUGGCGGGUCCGCCCGCCAAUUGGACCUUAUUCAAACCUUUUUUUCAGUUGCAAUCAGCGUCAGCAAAACAAAUGUAAUCAAUUACAACUUUCAACAACGGAUCUCUUGGUUCUGGCAUCGAUGAAGAACGCAGCGAAAUGCGAUAAGUAGUGUGAAUUGCAGAAUUCAGUGAAUCAUCGAAUCUUUGAACGCACAUUGCGCCCUUUGGUAUUCCAAAGGGCAUGCCUGUUCGAGCGUCAUUUGUACCCUCAAGCUUUGCUUGGUGUUGGGCGUCUUGUCUCUCUCCCGAGACUCGCCUUAAAAUCAUUGGCAGCCGGCCUACUGGUUUCGGAGCGCAGCACAUUAUUUGCGCUCUUGUCCAGCCGCGGUCGCGCGUCCAUGAAGCUUCUUUCAACCUUUUGACCUCGGAUCANGUAGGNAUAC
This 521-nucleotide ribosomal RNA is filed under the name Pyrenophora tritici-repentis. RNAcentral's name for it is "eukaryotic LSU rRNA". The stretch from base 184 to 337 matches the Rfam family "5.8S ribosomal RNA". Lineage: Eukaryota; Fungi; Ascomycota; Dothideomycetes; Pleosporales; Pleosporaceae. The record is from RNAcentral.